Molecule: ribosomal RNA, 499 nt
Filed under: uncultured bacterium
Lineage: Bacteria
Description: SSU rRNA
Rfam family: Bacterial small subunit ribosomal RNA
Source: RNAcentral
AGAUUGAACGCUGGCGGCGUGCUUAACACAUGCAAGCCGAGCGGUAACGCGGGAGCAAUCCUGGCGACGAGCGGCGAACGGGUGAGUAAUGCUUGGGAAUCUGCCCAUUAGUGGGGAACAACCAGCCGAAAGGUUGGCUAAUACCGCAUACGCCCUACGGGGGAAAGCGGGGGCUCGUAAGACCUCGCGCUAAUGGAUGAGCCCAAGUCGGAUUAGCUUGUUGGUAGGGUAACGGCCUACCAAGGCGACAAUCCGUAGCUGGUCUGAGAGGACGACCAGCCACACUGGGACUGAGACACGGCCCAGACUCCUACGGGAGGCAGCAGUGGGGGAAUAUUGGACAAUGGGGGAAACCCUGAUCCAGCGACGCCGCGUGUGUGAAGAAGGCCUGCGGGUUGUAAAGCACUUUAGUGGGAUGAAAAGCCUAGGGUUAACACCUCUGGGUCUUGACCUAACCCACAGAAAAGCACCGGCUAACUCUGUGCCAGCAGCCGACGGU